RNAcentral lists this long non-coding RNA (337 nucleotides) under Jatropha curcas. RNAcentral describes it as "long non-coding RNA (JCUR_LNC002684)". Lineage: Eukaryota; Viridiplantae; Streptophyta; Magnoliopsida; Malpighiales; Euphorbiaceae. The record is from RNAcentral.
GGAAGACGGUCAUGUCCUGGACUGAAUUUUGCAAUGCAAGUCAUGAACAUAACUCUUGCCAGGUUACUUCAAGCAUAUGAUUUUAGAACUCCAGGAAAUGAACCAGUUGACAUGACUGAAGGUAAAGGAAUUGCCUUGCCAAAAAUAACUCCUCUUGAAGUUGUUCUCACACCGCGCCUUGCUCCUGAGCUUUACCAACAGUUGAAUUGAAGAAAUUAGUUAUGUCGUCUGGAUUAAAUAAAGAGGGGUUAUACAUAUAUAAGAUGGACAAUUUCAAUUAAGAAUUUUAUGUGUAAUUUUAACUUCUAUGUCUUACUUGUAAGAAUUUUCAAUUUUC